AUCUUUGCGCUUGGGGCAAUGACGCAGCUAGUGAGGUAAUACCGAGGCGCGUCAAUUGCUGGUUGAAAACUAUUUCCAAACCCCCUCUGCGGCCCACCCGGGCCACACAGAAUUUCUGGAAGGGCUCCCUCUUACGAGGGUAAAGCC
Molecule: small nuclear RNA, 147 nt
Filed under: Dichanthelium oligosanthes
Lineage: Eukaryota; Viridiplantae; Streptophyta; Magnoliopsida; Poales; Poaceae
Description: U4 spliceosomal RNA
Rfam family: U4 spliceosomal RNA (bases 1-130)
About the family: U4 small nuclear RNA (U4 snRNA) is a component of the major U2-dependent spliceosome. The structure of U4 snRNA from yeast and human has been reported.
Source: Rfam by way of RNAcentral